CAUCACCUACUGUCUCAAUAGAGCAUACUCCAGUGAUGACAGCUACUCCAGACAGUACACCAAUAAUACAAUUGUUAUAUACUCUGUCUUCAGUGGUAGCAGGUUCAGUCAUCUUCCUAAUAUUAGUAAUAGUAUCAAUAUUUUGGAUUAGAAGAAGGAAGAAAAAUGAAGUAACUAAAGAUCCGAUUACUACAAAUAUUCCAG
Molecule: long non-coding RNA, 204 nt
Organism: Amphimedon queenslandica
Lineage: Eukaryota; Metazoa; Porifera; Demospongiae; Haplosclerida; Niphatidae
Exons: 3
Source: RefSeq, a predicted model, not a curated record